RNAcentral lists this ribosomal RNA (659 nucleotides) under uncultured Lactococcus sp. Its description in RNAcentral is "bacterial SSU rRNA". It matches the Rfam family "Bacterial small subunit ribosomal RNA", at positions 28 to 669 of the family's 1533-position model. The record is from RNAcentral. Lineage: Bacteria; Bacillati; Bacillota; Bacilli; Lactobacillales; Streptococcaceae.
GACGAACGCUGGCGGCGUGCCUAAUACAUGCAAGUUGAGCGCUGAAGGUUGGUACUUGUACCAACUGGAUGAGCAGCGAACGGGUGAGUAACGCGUGGGGAAUCUGCCUUUGAGCGGGGGACAACAUUUGGAAACGAAUGCUAAUACCGCAUAAAAACUUUAAACACAAGUUUUAGGUUUGAAAGAUGCAAUUGCAUCACUCAAAGAUGAUCCCGCGUUGUAUUAGCUAGUUGGUGAGGUAAAGGCUCACCAAGGCGAUGAUACAUAGCCGACCUGAGAGGGUGAUCGGCCACAUUGGGACUGAGACACGGCCCAAACUCCUACGGGAGGCAGCAGUAGGGAAUCUUCGGCAAUGGACGAAAGUCUGACCGAGCAACGCCGCGUGAGUGAAGAAGGUUUUCGGAUCGUAAAACUCUGUUGGUAGAGAAGAACGUUGGUGAGAGUGGAAAGCUCAUCAAGUGACGGUAACUACCCAGAAAGGGACGGCUAACUACGUGCCAGCAGCCGCGGUAAUACGUAGGUCCCGAGCGUUGUCCGGAUUUAUUGGGCGUAAAGCGAGCGCAGGUGGUUUAUUAAGUCUGGUGUAAAAGGCAGUGGCUCAACCAUUGUAUGCAUUGGAAACCUGGUAGACUUGAGUGCAGGAGAGGAGAGCGGAAUUC